This is a long non-coding RNA of Oncorhynchus tshawytscha (Chinook salmon), 1101 nucleotides long. NCBI's taxonomy places the organism in Eukaryota, Metazoa, Chordata, Actinopteri, Salmoniformes, Salmonidae. The record is from Ensembl.
UUAUAAACAGAGUAGAAGAAGAAGAAGAGGAUAUUAUUAUAAACAGAGUAGAAGAAGAAGAAGAGGAUAUUAUUAUAAACAGAGUAGAUAAAGAAGAAGAUAUUAUUAUAAACAGAGUAGAAGAAGAGGAUAUUAUUAUAAACAGAGUAGAUAAAGAAGAAGAGGAUAUUAUUAUAAACAGAGUAGAUAAAGAAGAAGAUAUUAUUAUUAUAAACAUAGAAGAAGAAGAAGAGGAUAUUAUUAUAAACAGAGAAGAAGAGAAGAAGAAGAGGAUAUUAUUAUAAACAGAGUAGAAGAAGAGGAUAUUAUUAUAAACAGAGUAGAAGAAGAAGAGGAUAUUAUUAUAAACAGAGUAGAAGAAGAAGAAGAGGAUAUUAUUAUAAACAGAGUAGAAGAAGAAGAGGAUAUUAUUAUAAACAGAGUAGAAGAAGAGGAUAUUAUUAUAAACAGAGUAGAAGAAGAAGAGGAUAUUAUUAUUAUUAUAAACAGAGUAGAUGAAGAAGAAGAGGAUAUUAUUAUAAACAGAGUAGAAGAAGAGGAUAUUAUUAUAAACAGAGUAGAAGAAGAGGAUAUUAUUAUAAACAGAGUAGAAGAAGAAGAGGAUAUUAUUAUAAACAGAGUAGAAGAAGAAGAGGAUAUUAUUAUAAACAGAGUAGAAGAAGAAGAGGAGAUUAUUAUAAACAGAGUAGAAGAAGAAGAGGAUAUUAUUAUAAACAGAGUAGAAGAAGAGGAUAUUAUUAUAAACAGAGUAGAAGAAGAAGAGGAUAUUAUUAUAAACAGAGUAGAAGAAGAAGAAGAGGAUAUUAUUAUAAACAGAGUAGAAGAAGAAGAAGAGGAUAUUAUUAUAAACAGAGUAGAAGAAGAAGAGGAUAUUAUUAUAAACAGAGUAGAAGAAGAAGAGGAUAUUAUUAUAAACAGAGUAGAUAAAGAAGAAGAGGAUAUUAUUAUAAACAGAGUAGAAGAAGAAGAAGAGGAUAUUAUUAUAAACAGAGUAGAAGAAGAAGAAGAGGAUAUUAUUAUAAACAGAGUAGAUAAAGAAGAAGAUAUUAUUAUAAACAGAGUAGAUGAAGAAGAGGAUAUUAUUAUAAACAGAGUAGAAGA